GGACAGGUGGCCGAGUGGCCGAAGGCACCGGAUUACUAACCCGGCAUACCGAAAGGUAUCGUGAGUUCGAAUCUCACCCUGUCCGCCA
This 88-nucleotide transfer RNA is filed under the name Bacteroidota bacterium. RNAcentral's name for it is "Bacteroidetes bacterium (freshwater metagenome) tRNA-Ser". It matches the Rfam family "tRNA". From Rfam's summary of the family: Transfer RNA (tRNA) molecules are approximately 80 nucleotides in length. Their secondary structure includes four short double-helical elements and three loops (D, anti-codon, and T loops). Lineage: Bacteria; Pseudomonadati; Bacteroidota. The record is from RNAcentral.